GUGGAAGCUCUGCGUGCCGCUUGAGGCAGAAGCUUCAAGCGCUGUUGCUGGUUUCCUCCAACUCUUUUGCUUUUUUUUUUUCUUUUUUCUCCUGCCAGGAUUAGGGCUUGUCCUAAAUAAGGGCUUUUCCUCAGUGUGGACGCUGCUGUGAAGACGCAGGGAAUAGGAAGGAGCCUGUUGCCAGCAGCAGGAACCUGUGGCGUGACCAAGAAAGGAACCUUUGUGGUUGGAAGCCACUGAGGACUCCAUAAUACAAGGACAGCGGAUGUCACACUUCUCAUUUAACACACUUUUGAAUGGGGCUAGAGUAUCCGAUGGUUUCGCUGGAAAGAGAUUAAUAGUGACUCACCUCGACAUAGCACACGACAAAAGUGGGGAUGAAUAAGGAAAAGAAAGUCUCCUCUCAGGAGUGAAGAAAAGAAGGUGCCCUGAUGUAGAGAAAUUGAGUCACCGUAGCUGGCAUGAGAUCAAUGCACCAUGCUGGUGAGAAACGCUCCCUCUCACAACCCGGGUAGCUAUUGACUCCGGCAGCCCAGAGCCCUUGGGCAUGUUCAUCAAAUUACUGGAAUUAUUAACAGCUUCUUGUUGGCAGUUCCGAAGAAUCUCAUGCGACUCCAGUCUGACUCCUGAAGCUCAAGUCUUUAUUAACCUGCUUUUGAAGAUGGAUAAAAAAUGAGAGGACUUGACGUGAGAAUUUAAAGCACCUUAGGGAGAACUUUUCCUUUGUCAGGCAGCGAUGGUCUGCCUCCAUCAUCCAGGCUGCAUCUAGGGAGAGUCCAGAGGCAUCUGCGUCCUCUCGCCUGGAUGUGAGCCUUUGCUCCCGCGUGAUUCACACUGAAGACAGACCUUCGACUCUCAACUCUUUGUUCGCUUCAUAAUUUUGUUUCACUUAAAUUCAGAUCUUAACAUCUGAGAGAUGGAGAGAACUGUGGCGGAUUCUAGCUCUGGCCCCAUCAUCAACUCUAACCGAGUGACUUAACCUCUUUGGAACUCUGUUUCCUUAUCUUGCUUCAAUAAGAAAAGGAAAAAUGAGACUUUUUUAAGGCUCAAAAAAAUUCAGGGAGAGCCACUUUGAGAAUCCUUUGGUUGCUUGGGGGUGUAUAAGAUUAGCCUCCUAAUAACAAUUUUUGGCAGAGUUCCUCAGCCAACUUAACUGAAUAAAUAGCUCAAUGAUGUGGUAACGUGGGGGUAAAGUCAUGGUGGCCAGAGAAAGUAUAGGGCAGCUGCCAAGAAAAACACACAAAUUUAUAAAGGCAGUACUGACCCUAAGCCAUACUGGUAGGACAGAAUUAUUAUUCCUCUUCAUGCAACUUAACUUUCAUAAUACUCUUCAGUGUUGGGAGAUUAGCUUGGCAGAUGUCCAAGAAGAGAAGAGCAGAGCCAGCUUUUAAGGUAUUGGAAUUCCCAAAAGGUAGAGCAGAGGAAAGGUGAGAUCCCAGGGUCAGAAAUACCCCAGAGAUAAUACUACAUCACGGAUGCAUUUACACCAUGGACAAGCGAACUUCUCUCUGAAUCACCUACUUAGGGCUACCUUUCUGAAGAUAAGACUGUUGGAAGGUACGCUUUAUUCUAAUGUGGGAUUCCGUUGGUUAGGACCUUACUGACUGAAGAAACCUCUCCCAAGGCACAAGCAUCCUGUCUCCUAUUCUCUUCUCCAUUUGCAUGUUAAUAUCUCCAGAGCGCAGGGGCUAAGAAGACUUUGUAAAAAUCAAAGUCUUGGAUUCUAAGGAUAUAGCAGGAUGAAUUUGAAAAAUAUAAUUUAUUAUUUCUCUUUCCCCAAGCAUUGGGGCCAUUCAUUCCUCCAUUGGCUGAACAGGGUUGGGCCAAAAUGGGCAGAAACAGCAACAACUUAGAUUUAUUGAGACUUUCCUAGGUUCCUGGCAUUGUUCUGACCCCUUUACACCUAAUCUCCUCAAGGACCUUAUGAGAAGAGCUCUAUUAUUAUGUCCAUUUCGCUGACAGGGAAACUGAGGCACUGAAAGUAUAAAUACCUUACCCAAGAUCAAGGCUCUGGGAAAGGUGGAGCUCUGAGAUUUGAUGUUCAGCUUUUGCCUUCCAAACUAGGUUUAUCGCAGAGAAAAUGGUUAUGAAAACAAAAGCAUUCGAUUUUGUCAGGGAGGGAAGAUUCUUCCUCUACACUCAUGGUCUUCCAGCUGGACCAAGAAUUAAAUUUAUAUGAAACAAGUUUACAGGAGGGAAAAACCCAAAGUUUUAUUACGUGUGCGCUGAGGCCCGCUGGUGGACUCAAGGACUCGAGGUUUAUUUUAUAGCUUUCUUGACUUUCAAGUCCCUAUCUCUGGUGAUAAGGAUGUCUUUUUACUUCUUCGUACAAGGAGGGUAUUUUUCAUAUGGAGAUUCGUUUGCUGCUUUCAGUAGGGGUUUGGGGCACAGAGAAGGGUCUGAGUGUCCCUGUACCCGUUGUUGCCCAAGUAGCUUUAAUUCAAAAUAAUCAAUAUGCCUUUGUGGCAGCCUGCCCUGGGCCCCUACAAUUUGCAAGUGCUUGGCUUAAAAAAAAAAAAAGAAACCUGUUUGUUGAGUUAUAACAUUUGCACAUACCACAAAACGCACAAAUGAACGGUAUAGAUCGGUGAAGCCUUGCAAAGUGAACAGUCCCAUGGAAGCAGUACCCAGAAAUCUUCCCUCUGUCCUCCUCCAAUUUCUGCCCCUCGCCAGUGGUUUGACUUUCAAAAGCAGUCAAUCUGUUUUUGCGUGUUUUGGAACUUCUUCUAAUUGGAAUCAUACACUGCGUACUUUGUGUGUGUGUGUGUGUGUGUGUGUGUGCUGUGUACUUUGUGUGUGUGUGUGUGUGUGUGUGUGUGUGUGUGUGUUUGGCUUCUUUCCCUCAUAUUUUUAUGGUGAAAUCCACUCAUAUCAUGGUGUUGUGUCAAUGAUGUAUGGCAUUCUAUAUACACAUACAAAAAUGCAUUUAUCCAUAUUACUACUUUUUUAAAUUUUUU
Molecule: long non-coding RNA, 2957 nt
Organism: Lynx canadensis (Canada lynx)
Lineage: Eukaryota; Metazoa; Chordata; Mammalia; Carnivora; Felidae
Exons: 3
Source: RefSeq, a predicted model, not a curated record